RNAcentral lists this ribosomal RNA (636 nucleotides) under Streptomyces beijiangensis. RNAcentral's name for it is "bacterial SSU rRNA". It matches the Rfam family "Bacterial small subunit ribosomal RNA", at positions 408 to 1056 of the family's 1533-position model. The record is from RNAcentral. Lineage: Bacteria; Bacillati; Actinomycetota; Actinomycetes; Kitasatosporales; Streptomycetaceae.
AUGACGGCCUUCGGGUUGUAAACCUCUUUCAGCAGGGAAGAAGCGCAAGUGACGGUACCUGCAGAAGAAGCACCGGCUAACUACGUGCCAGCAGCCGCGGUAAUACGUAGGGUGCGAGCGUUGUCCGGAAUUAUUGGGCGUAAAGAGCUCGUAGGCGGUCUGUCACGUCGGAUGUGAAAGCCCGGGGCUUAACCCCGGGUCUGCAUUCGAUACGGGCAGACUAGAGUGUGGUAGGGGAGAUCGGAAUUCCUGGUGUAGCGGUGAAAUGCGCAGAUAUCAGGAGGAACACCGGUGGCGAAGGCGGAUCUCUGGGCCAUUACUGACGCUGAGGAGCGAAAGCGUGGGGAGCGAACAGGAUUAGAUACCCUGGUAGUCCACGCCGUAAACGUUGGGAACUAGGUGUUGGCGACAUUCCACGUCGUCGGUGCCGCAGCUAACGCAUUAAGUUCCCCGCCUGGGGAGUACGGCCGCAAGGCUAAAACUCAAAGGAAUUGACGGGGGCCCGCACAAGCAGCGGAGCAUGUGGCUUAAUUCGACGCAACGCGAAGAACCUUACCAAGGCUUGACAUACACCGGAAAGCCGUAGAGAUACGGCCCCCCUUGUGGUCGGUGUACAGGUGGUGCAUGGCUGUCGUC